RNAcentral lists this ribosomal RNA (2784 nucleotides) under Triticum aestivum (bread wheat). Its description in RNAcentral is "partial small subunit ribosomal RNA". Lineage: Eukaryota; Viridiplantae; Streptophyta; Magnoliopsida; Poales; Poaceae. The record is from RNAcentral.
AUGAAUCUCUCGCCGUCCGCCGCCGCCGGCGGUGGCCUGCCAGAUCAGCCGGCAUCGCCGGAAGUAUCAGAAGAGCACAAGUGCCUAAACUCAGAGUUGUGGCACGCCUGUGCCGGCCCCCUCGUUUCUUUGCCUGCGGUCGGCAGUCGGGUGUUGUAUUUUCCUCAAGGUCAUAGUGAGCAGGUAUCGGCAUCAACAAACAAGGAAAUGGAGUCUCAGAUCCCCAACUAUCCGAACCUGCCUGCACAGCUUAUAUGCCAACUGCAUAAUGUGACCAUGCACGCUGAUGCAGAGACAGACGAGGUCUAUGCACAAAUGACGUUACAGCCACUCAGCCCACAAGAACUCAAGGACCCAUUUCUACCUGCUGAGUUGGGCAAUGCUAGCAAACAACCAACGAAUUAUUUUUGCAAAACAUUAACUGCAAGUGACACCAGUACCCAUGGUGGAUUCUCUGUUCCCCGCCGAGCUGCGGAGAAGGUGUUUCCUCCGCUGGAUUUCACUCAGCAGCCUCCAGCACAGGAGUUGAUGGCAAAAGACCUUCAUGGCAAUGAGUGGAAAUUCCGUCAUAUCUUUCGAGGUCAACCAAAGCGGCAUCUUCUGACGACAGGUUGGAGCAUCUUUAUAAGUGCGAAGAGACUGGUUGCUGGAGACUCUGUCCUAUUUAUCUGGAAUGACAACAACCAGCUGCUUCUUGGAAUACGUCGAGCAAAUAGAUCGCAAACGGUUAUGCCAUCAUCAGUAUUGUCUAGUGACAGCAUGCAUAUUGGUCUUCUUGCUGCAGCUGCUCAUGCUGCAUCAACAAAUAGCCGGUUCACUAUUUUCUAUAAUCCAAGAGCAAGCCCUUCAGAGUUUGUCAUACCAUUGGCUAAGUAUGUAAAGGCUGUGUACCAUACCCGUAUAUCUGUGGGCAUGCGUUUCCGGAUGCUUUUCGAGACAGAAGAAUCCAGUGUCAGGCGAUACAUGGGAACAAUUACAGGAAUAAGUGACCUUGAUCCUGCUCGUUGGCCGAACUCACACUGGCGUUCUGUUAAGGUUGGAUGGGAUGAGUCAACUGCUGGAGAGAGGCAACCAAGGGUGUCUCUAUGGGAGAUUGAGCCUCUGACGACUUACCCGAUGUAUUCAUCUCCUUUCCCUAUGCGACUGAAGCGGCCUUGGCCAACAGGAUUGCCUUCCUUAUAUGGUGGAAAGGAGGAUGACUUGACCUCUUCUCUCAUGUGGCUUCGAGAUGGAGCAAACCCAGGUUUCCAGUCAUUCAAUUUUGGUGGACUUGGUAUGAGUCCUUGGAUGCAGCCAAGGAUGGAUAGUUCCCUACUUGGUCUGCAACCUGACAUGUACCAUGCAAUGUCAGCAGCAGCUUUUCAGAACACGACGAAGCAAGUAUCGCCUACACUGCUGCAGUUCCAGCAGCCUCAGAACAUUGCUGGUAGAUCUGCUCUUCUAUCGAGUCAGAUUCUGCAGCAAGUGCAGCCUCAGUUUCAGGAGAUGCACCACCAAAACAUCAAUGACAGUGCAAUCCAAGGCCAUAAUCAGCCUGAGUACCUCCAGCAACAGCUUCAGCGCUGCCAAUCCUUUAAUGGGCAGAAAUCGCCGCUGCCGCAGCAGCAAGAAUCACACCACCAGCACCAGCAGCAACAGUCACAGUGCAUGCAAACACCACAACAUCAACAAAUGCAAGAACAGAAGCACUCGCCUGACUUUCAGUGUGUACCAAAUGGGUUGUCGGUUUUCUCCCAGCUUUCCUCCACCAAUCAGUCUCCACCUUCCACAUUGCAGACAGUUUCAGCGUUCUCACAGCAGCAGAACCUUCAAGACAGAAAUAUCAGCUCUCUUUCUCCAUCGAAUAUCCCGUCCAUGCAUGACACAUUGAGACCAUUUCCUUCAGAAGCAGGUUCGAACCUCCAAGGCGUGCCAAGAACCACCCCUUUGCCUGUCUCUGACCCAUGGUCAUCUAAGCGGGUUGCAAUGGAGUCUGUGAUCCCUUCUAGCUCGCAUGUUAACUCGUCGCAUAUACAACAGUUGGAUUCAGCGCCUUCUAAUAUACCACAAAGCUCCUCAUUAGCACCAUUGCCUGGAAGAGAGUGCUUGGUGGAUCAAGAUGGGAAUUCUGAUAAUCAAAAUCACCUCUUAUUUGGUGUUAAUAUAGACUCUCAGUCACUUCUAAUGCAAGGUGGCAUUCCCAGCCUUCAGGAGGACAAUGGUUGCAUUGCAAGCCUUCAGGACGACAAUGAUUCGAGCACGAUUCCAUAUUCCACGUGCAAUUUCCUGAGCCCUUCUCAAAAUGAUUUUCCGUUGAAUGAAGCACUAGCUAGUUCAGGCUGCUUAGAUGAAUCAGGAUAUGCGUCAUUUUCGGAAAAUUCUGAUCAUGUAAAUCAAUCGACUGCAGCGUUCGUGAAGGUUUACAAAUCUGGAACCUUUGGAAGGUUGCUGGACAUCACUAAGUUUAGCAGCUACCAUGAACUUCGUAGUGAGGUAGGGCACCUAUUUGGCCUCGAGGGCCAGUUGGAGGACCCUGCAAGAUCAGGCUGGCAGCUUGUAUUUGUUGACCGAGAGGAUGAUAUCCUUCUAGUUGGCGAUGAUCCGUGGCAGGAAUUCGUGAACAGCGUAUCUUGCAUAAAGAUACUUACGCCACAGGAGGUGCAGCAGAUGGGAAAGCAGGGCAUCGACCUCCUGAGCUCGGCUCCUGCGAGGAUGCUCGGCAACAGUUGUGAUAACUACGCUGGCAGGCAGGAAUCGAGAAGCCUGAGCACCGUAAUUGCGUCGGUGGGUUCUGUCGAGUUCUGA